AUGUCCGAACCUGAGUUGCAGCUGGUGGCACAGCGCAUCCGCAGCUUCCCUGACUUCCCCAUCCUGGGGGUGUUGUUCAGGGAUAUCUCGCCACUCUUGAAAGACCCGGACUCCUUCCGAGCUUCCAUCCGCCUCCUGGCCAGUCACCUUAAUUAAGUCCAUGCGCGGCGGCAAGAUCGACUACAUUGCAGGUCUAGACUCCAGGGGCUUGCUGUUGGGCUGUGUGCUCAUCCAGAAAUGAGGGAAGCUGCCCAGCCCCACUGUGUCAGCCUCCUAUGCUCUGGAGUAUGGGAAGGCUGCGCUGGAAAUCCAGAAAGAUGCCUUAGAACCAGGGCAGAGAGUGGUCAUGGUCAUGUGGAUGAUCUCCUGGCCAUUGGAGGAACCACGUGUGCGGCCUGUGAGCUGCUGAACCAGCUCCGGGCUGGUAAGCCUGGUGGAGCUGACCUCCCUGAAGGGCAGGGAGAGGCUAGGACUUAUACCGUUCUUCUCUCUCCUGCAGUACGACUGA
RNA transcript from Mastomys coucha (southern multimammate mouse), 508 nucleotides. It is a transcript of the gene named adenine phosphoribosyltransferase-like, with no coding region annotated. The transcript has a single exon. The record is from RefSeq and is a predicted model, not a curated record. NCBI's taxonomy places the organism in Eukaryota, Metazoa, Chordata, Mammalia, Rodentia, Muridae.